RNAcentral lists this ribosomal RNA (1047 nucleotides) under Clostridioides difficile. RNAcentral describes it as "bacterial LSU rRNA". It matches the Rfam family "Bacterial large subunit ribosomal RNA", at positions 268 to 1327 of the family's 2925-position model. The record is from RNAcentral. Lineage: Bacteria; Bacillati; Bacillota; Clostridia; Peptostreptococcales; Peptostreptococcaceae.
CCCAAACCAAUAAAGUUUUCUUUAUUGGGGUUGCGGACAUAUCAUAACGAAGAGGUAUCGUAAUUGAAGAGGUUUGGAAAGACCCACCACAGAAGGUAAUAGUCCUGUAUGUUAAACGAGAAGACUUUAGAUAUGAUCCAGAGUACCACGGGACACGUGAAACCCUGUGGGAAGCAGGAGGGACCACCCUCCAAGGCUAAAUACUACCUAGUGACCGAUAGCGUAUAGUACCGUGAGGGAAAGGUGAAAAGAACCCCGGGAGGGGAGUGAAAUAGAACCUGAAACCCUGCACUUACAAGCUGUGGAAGCACAUUUCUUGUGUGACCGCGUACUUUUUGUAGAACGGGCCAACGAGUUACGUUAAGUAGCAAGGUUAAGCACUUAAGGUGCGGAGCCGUAGCGAAAGCGAGUUUUAACUGAGCGUUCAGUUACUUGACGUAGACCCGAAACCGGGCGACCUACCCAUGAGCAGGAUGAAGCGAAAGUAAAAUUUCGUGGAGGUCCGAACCCACGAGCGUUGAAAAGCUCGGGGAUGACUUGUGGGUAGCGGUGAAAUUCCAAUCGAGCCCGGAGAUAGCUGGUUCUCCCCGAAAUAGCUUUAGGGCUAGCCUCAAGGUGAGAGAUACGGAGGUAGAGCACUGAAUGUACUAGGGGGUAUUGCACCUACCGAAGACUAUCAAACUCCGAAUGCCGUCAUCUUAUACUUGGGAGUCAGACUGUGGGUGAUAAGAUUCAUAGUCGAAAGGGCAACAGCCCAGAUCGUCAGCUAAGGUCCCUAAAUGUAAGUUAAGUGGUAAAGGAUGUGGGAUUGCACAGACAACCAGGAUGUUGGCUUAGAAGCAGCCACUCAUUCAAAGAGUGCGUAAUAGCUCACUGGUCGAGUGAUCCUGCGCCGAAGAUUUCCGGGGCUAAAACUUACUACCGAAGCUACGGCAUCAGUAAUGAUGGGUAGGGGAGCUUCCCAUACGGGUUGAAGCAUGACCGUAAGGACAUGUGGACAGUAUGGGAGUGAGAAUGUUGGCAUGAGUAGCGAGAUGUGGGUGAGAA